AUAAAAUUGAGAAUGGAAAUGGGGAAUGUGUCAAAGAGACAACAACCCGACCAAAUAAAAAACAACAGCAGAGGGUCACCAACAGGUCUUCAAUGUAGCGAGAAAUUCCCGCACCCGGAGGCGUCCUUCAGCUGGCCCCUAAACAAAUAUAUGCUAGUCCAGUGAUAAUGAACGCCAUACUAAUUUCCAAAUUGUACACAAGAAACUAAAAUUAAAAUAAUACAAGACUAACAAAGGACAGAGGCUCCUGACUUGGGACAGGCGCAAAAAUGCGGCGGGGUUAAACAUGUUUGUGAGAUCUCAACCCUCCCCCUAUACCUCUAACCAAUGUAGAAAAGUAAACGCAUAACAAUACGCACAUUAAAAUUCAGUUCAAGAGAAG
This 382-nucleotide long non-coding RNA is filed under the name Mytilus galloprovincialis (Mediterranean mussel). The record is from RNAcentral. Lineage: Eukaryota; Metazoa; Mollusca; Bivalvia; Mytilida; Mytilidae.